RNAcentral lists this ribosomal RNA (445 nucleotides) under uncultured bacterium. Its description in RNAcentral is "partial 16S ribosomal RNA". It matches the Rfam family "Bacterial small subunit ribosomal RNA", at positions 354 to 796 of the family's 1533-position model. The record is from RNAcentral.
GUGAGGAAUAUUGCGCAAUGGAGGCAACUCUGACGCAGCCAUGCCGCGUGCAGGAAGAAGGCGCUACGCGUUGUAAACUGCUUUUAACCGGGAAGAAACCCCAGGACGUGUCAUGGGUUGACGGUACCGGAGGAAUAAGCACCGGCUAACUUCGUGCCAGCAGCCGCGGUAGUACGAAGGGUGCAAGCGGUAUCCGGAUUCAUUGGGCUUAAAGGGUGCGUAGGCGGAGAGUUAAGUCAGUGGUGAAAUCCUGCAGCUUAACUGUAGACUUGCCAUUGAUACUGGCGCUCUUGAGUGCGCUUGAAGUGGACGGAAUGUGCCGUGUAGCGGUGAAAUGCUUAGAUAUGGCACAGAACACCAAUUGCGAAGGCAGCUCACUAAGGCGAUACUGACGCUGAGGCACGAAAGCGUGGGGAUCGAACAGGAUUAGAUACCCCUGUAGUCC